Molecule: ribosomal RNA, 300 nt
Filed under: Triticum aestivum (bread wheat)
Lineage: Eukaryota; Viridiplantae; Streptophyta; Magnoliopsida; Poales; Poaceae
Description: partial small subunit ribosomal RNA
Source: RNAcentral
AUGACGAGGGCGAUGGGCAUCCCCGCAGCUCGGAAAUGCUCGCGAUGCCGUUCAGAGCUUGUGCCCGUGCAGUACGACGAGCGCCAUCUCUUCCCAUUGGUCGGUGGACCAUGGCCGUGCAGCUCGGAGAUGCUCGCCAUGUGGUUCCGGACUUGUGUGUGUGCAGUCGGGAGAGCGCCAUCUCCAUCUCUUCCCGUGUGGUCCGUCAACCAUGGUUGUGUAGCUCGCAGACGCUCGUCGUCCGGUUCAGGGCUCAUGCGUGUGCGGUCCUGCGAGGGCCAUCUCUUCCCUUGCUCGUAA